AAGAUGUUAUAAAAGACUUCUAAUCUUCCUAUAGCAGAUCAUGCUACAUCUUA
Molecule: transfer RNA, 53 nt
Filed under: Pseudocrangonyx joolaei
Lineage: Eukaryota; Metazoa; Arthropoda; Malacostraca; Amphipoda; Pseudocrangonyctidae
Description: tRNA-Ser
Source: RNAcentral